AUGUUCAUAAGCAUGGAGCCAUCGCCUUUGACAGACAAGAUCGAUCGGUGGUUCGGCGACUUGCUUGAUGGUCUAAGGGCAUACCCCUUUGAUUUUCCAGGGACAGCGUCUCACGGCGCUCGAAAGAGUCGCCGGAAGCUAGACGCGAUCUUCCGAGAGGAGCUGGAGGCAAGGAAGAAGGUGGACAGGCAAUGCGAUGAUCUAAUGGGCGGUCUGAUGCAGAUGAAGGACGAGCAGGGAAAGAAGUUGAGUAAUGAGGAGGUGGUGGAUAACAUUGUUUCCCUUGUCAUCGCCGGCUACGAGUCCACUACCAUCGCCAUCAUGUGGGCUGUCUACCACCUCGCAAAAUCCCCCGUCGUCCUUGCCAAGCUUCGAGAGGAGAAUAUAGCGAUGAGCAAAAGCAAAGGCGGGUCGACGUCAACGAGUUUGAUGAUCACCCACACCGACAUCCCAAAGAUGAAGUACACGGCCAAGGUGGUGGAGGAGACAAUCCGGAUGGCCAACAUCGCCCCCAUGGUCCACCGCGUGGCAAACAGAGACGUGGAGUACCGCGGCUAUACCAUACCGAAGGGUUGGGCUGUGCUGGUGUGGUUGAGAUCCUUGCACACUGAUCCCAAUUACUACGAGGAUCCCCUCUCCUUCAAUCCUAACAGAUGGGAUGAACCGGCUAAGGCAGGAACAUAUCAGGUGUUUGGAGGUGGCCCUAGGGUCUGCGCAGGCAACAUGCUUGCCAGGCUACAGGUCACCAUCAUCCUGCAUCAUCUCUGCGUCGGCUACGAAUGGGAGUUGCUCAAUCCUGAUGCAGAGAUCAAUUACCUUCCACACCCAAGGCCAGCGGAUGGUGCAGCCAUGGCCUUUUGUAAGCUUAGCACAUGA
RNAcentral lists this ribosomal RNA (876 nucleotides) under Triticum aestivum (bread wheat). Its description in RNAcentral is "partial small subunit ribosomal RNA". Lineage: Eukaryota; Viridiplantae; Streptophyta; Magnoliopsida; Poales; Poaceae. The record is from RNAcentral.